Molecule: small nuclear RNA, 279 nt
Filed under: Nannospalax galili (Upper Galilee mountains blind mole rat)
Lineage: Eukaryota; Metazoa; Chordata; Mammalia; Rodentia; Spalacidae
Description: 7SK RNA (ENSNGAG00000001846.1)
Rfam family: 7SK RNA
About the family: 7SK was discovered as an abundant small nuclear RNA in the mid-70s but a possible function has only recently been suggested. Two independent studies have found that 7SK RNA binds the CDK9/cyclin T complex (known as elongation factor P-TEFb). P-TEFb activates transcription by phosphorylating the C-terminal domain of RNA polymerase II.
Source: RNAcentral
GUAUAUGGGACUAUGUACUAUCUAUUACCCCACUGAUCUUCAGGGUUGACUCAUCUAGCUGGCUAGAUGGGUAUUGCCUCCCUCCCUCACUGCUUCAUGUGCAUCCCUCCUGAAGUAGCAUUCAGUCUGUGGAAGAGAAGGACUUUCCCUGAUGGAGAGCAGUCAAGGGUAUACAAGAAACUGCCUGUGGUCCUCUAGUAGAACUUCCAAACACACUCUCAAAUUACUUUUGUUUUCUUAAUAUAAAAUGAGAAUUGGCCCAUAUUUUCAGCUGAGUGA